GUGAAUCAUCGAAUUUUUGAACGCAGAUUGCACUCUCCUCGGAGAGGAUGCCUGUGUGAGGGUCAGCCUAUAAAAAAUCGACAUCGUUGCUGUGGCACGGUGACGUGCGGCGGAAAGUGGGUCAUCUUAAAUCUGGUGGGUAUAAGCGACUUAAAAUUUGCAGUAUGGUUACAUGAAGGUAUCGAAGAUUUAUGUCUUUACACGUUUAAGGUAUAGAUUUUGAUUAGACGUGACGAUCAUAGCGGAUAGAGUC
RNAcentral lists this unclassified non-coding RNA (253 nucleotides) under Glomus sp. Its description in RNAcentral is "partial contains 5.8S ribosomal RNA and internal transcribed spacer 2". Lineage: Eukaryota; Fungi; Glomeromycota; Glomeromycetes; Glomerales; Glomeraceae. The record is from RNAcentral.